ACACACACAGACACGUCACACACAGAGACACACAACACAACACACACGCAUGUUUAAUACACCUCUUCUGUUUGCUUUUUUUUUUUUUUUCUAACUUUCUUCAGCGUAUGGUGCUUUGCUUUGAGGAGAAAACAGACCUUCUGGAGUAAAUGGAAAAUCCAUUUUAAAUAGAAAAGAAGGUCCCCAAGACAGCAAGACACGGGAGAAGAAAUAAGAGAGAAGUAGAGACUGGAACAGAGACAGGAAGGGGGAUUUGAAUUCAGAAAAUCACAUUCAGCCCAGAGAUGAUGGUCAAAGAAAGCCAGUGGGAUAAAACCCCCAAACUAGAUGAUUUAUAAAAUCCACACUCAGGGGCUAUGACUUUGACUUUUUAGCACCUUUGCGGGGAGAAAAGAGAGCCCUCCCACACCCCCAGAAGUGGAAUCAUCAGAGCUCCCCGCUCUCUCAUCUUUGUGGCAUGUCCUCAGAAACUGGGGACCAAAGACGGUGAAUGUAAGCCAAGGGGAACAGAACCCCAGACCUUGGUCUUAGUCCGAUGCAUUUGCAUGCCCGUUCCUUGCCAGCUAGAAAGAAAACACACGAAUCUGAACCUCUUCUCCAAAACAGGGACGGUAAUUCUGGGCAGGAAUGUUAACUGUAGCUGAGGGAAACACGAUAGGGUUGGAAGGAAUAGAAAGGGACUCUCAAAUGAGUUAAUAAGAAUAGAGAAUUAAUCAUGUGCAUUCCACCCCUUGUUAAUUGCCUGGAAUGCACCAUAUGGUAGGAGACAUGAAAUGUGCCCCGGGAACUGAUAGGACUGAAGGGCAGGGAAAAAAGAGAUUUCGAGGAAUAGGAAAAUGCGGCGGCGGCGAUGCCUACAUUACGGUGAGUAGCUAAAGGGAAUCUGUGAAAGCCAAGUGAUUUGGCAGAGAGUCUCUGCUCUGUUCUGAUGGCGAAUGCAAAACUGAGUUCAGAGGAAGAAGCCCGCCUUGUCUUGGGAGACGGCAGGGAGCAGAGAAGAAACUUGCUGAAGUAGAAUGUAAGUGAAACCCCUCCAGGGAAGAAGGGAACCCACAGAGCCAAAGGGACAGGCAGGGCUGCUGGGACUGCUAAGCCUCUGCCCAUCUUGGUUCACCUGGGGUUCCCUAUGCCCUGGUGGCAUCCCCUAGGAGGGAGCAGAGGUGAGAGGAGAGAGCUGUCUGUACACAGCAGCAUCUGAGACAGAGGUGACAGAAGUGGGGGAGGGAAGCUGGACCCCACCAUGUGGCCAGACACAAUUCAUAGGAGCAGUAUCCUGGGGGACAGCAGACAUUGCUCCCUACUGGGGACUUCCAGGGUGGCACAGGAUGUGCCAAGGAGAAAAUAGGAGCUUGUGUACCACCCACUUCAGGAUUCUGGAGAUCCCAAUGACAACCAAGCGGCAUCACUUCCCCCUCAAUAGAAGAGGGAAUAAUGUAUGAGAGGAAGUGUGGGGACCCCUGCAGCCUGCACGGCCAUAUCUAACGGACAGCUCUCUCUCAUCUGAAAGGUGUCCUUUCCUGGGAUCAGGCUCUAGGUCUCUGAUUCUACUCAAUUACAUCUCAGCAUCUCCCCUACAAGACAGGGAAAUCCCGAUUCUUCACUCGGCUGUAGUCUUCCUGAGGAGGCAGUGACCCCCACUGGAAACACAGUUAAGAGAGACACAGAAUUCCAGAAUUCUCAGCAAGCAAGACCCACGGUCUCGAGCACUGCACGCUUCCCACAGAUAACCCUGGGCUUUUCAAGUUUUUGGCCUUGCCCGACCUCUUCCUCCCUCUCUUUCCCUCUCCUUCCUUGAACGCUGGUCUUUCUGAAUGACUCCCGUUCCGUCCACACGCACACCCUCUGCCCUUCCUCAAACAGGUUCCUUAGGUGUUGACUUUAUCUCCAAGACAUAAUCCCCCAAACAUCUAAUCCCUCAACCCAAGGUACAACUGUCAGCCUUAGAAGAGCGAUUCCACCAUGAUGAGAACCUUUAUUUCAUGGGAAUGAGCAUGGUGUGCACACAUCCAUUCUCGUGACCUUAUGGACGGAGGAACCAAGGCAAUCCCACGCGCCAUGAGCCCGAGAGGCAACGUUGACAUCUGAACCCAGGUCAUAGUGAGGAGCUGAAUCUCACACAGCUCUUGGGCUCCCUGUUGUGUGAACUGGGUGUGUGCAGGUGUGCAGGCAUGGUGACAUCAUAAUGGAGGAUUUGGAUGACACCGAUGGGCCUUAUGUCACAAUGCAGUACUGCCAUGAUAUGAUGGAGCAUUUGGCUACUAUAAUUGCUUUUGUGGUGACACAGGGAGGUAAUGUGAUGUCCCCUGGCUCCUGUCUCUUUCUGAAAGCAGAUCCACGGUGGUGACGUUGAACACGACUCCUUUCAGCCAGAGGAUCAUGAAGAGACGCUGAGAGAAAGGACAGUUGCCAAUGCUCUCUCCAUCGAUGCCAGCCUGAACAGAAAGAAGGGCAGAAGGCUGAGUCUCGGGGCACAGACACACAGAACUGAACAUGGACCAUAAAGAACAAACUCUGGGCUUGUAGCCACAUCCCAGCUAACUUUUGAGACCCAUUGCAUCCUUCUCCGUUUCCCUGACAUUCAGGCAGAACAAUACCUUGUACCUUGUGUGGUCUUCAUAAAGGCUGAACUGGAGUUUCCAAUAUGAGAUGUCCUAGGGCCAUACUAUCUGAAACCACAGAACCUCCAGGCCCUUUGAAACUACUGGCUCUCUAAAUAAAGCAGGACUUAAAGAUUCA
Molecule: long non-coding RNA, 2736 nt
Organism: Rattus norvegicus (Norway rat)
Lineage: Eukaryota; Metazoa; Chordata; Mammalia; Rodentia; Muridae
Source: RefSeq, a predicted model, not a curated record